CCUACGGGAGGCAGCAGUGGGGAAUAUUGCACAAUGGGGGAAACCCUGAUGCAGCGACGCCGCGUGAGUGAAGAAGUAUUUCGGUAUGUAAAGCUCUGUCAGCAGGGAAGAAAGCAAUGACGGUACCUGACCACGAAGCCCCGGCUAACUACGUGCCAGCAGCCGCGGUAAUACGGAGGGGGCAAGCGUUAUCCGGAAUUACUGGGUGUAAAGGGAGCGUAGACGGCUGUGCAAGUCUGGAGUGAAAGGCGGGGGCUCAACCCCCGGACUGCUCUGGAAACUGUAUGGCUGGAGUGCAGGAGAGGUAAGCGGAAUUCCUAGUGUAGCGGUGAAAUGCGUAGAUAUUAGGAGGAACACCAGUGGCGAAGGCGGCUUACUGGACUGUAACUGACGUUGAGGCUCGAAAGCGUGGGGAGCAAACAGGAUUAGAUACCCCUGUAGUC
RNAcentral lists this ribosomal RNA (443 nucleotides) under uncultured bacterium. RNAcentral's name for it is "partial 16S ribosomal RNA". It matches the Rfam family "Bacterial small subunit ribosomal RNA", at positions 338 to 795 of the family's 1533-position model. The record is from RNAcentral.